RNAcentral lists this ribosomal RNA (253 nucleotides) under uncultured bacterium. Its description in RNAcentral is "partial 16S ribosomal RNA". It matches the Rfam family "Bacterial small subunit ribosomal RNA", at positions 524 to 776 of the family's 1533-position model. The record is from RNAcentral.
UACGUAGGGGGCAAGCGUUGUCCGGAUUCAUUGGGCGUAAAGAGCGUGUAGGCGGCCAGGUAGGUCGGUUGUGAAAACUGGAGGCUCAACCUUCAGAGGUCGACCGAAACCAUCUGGCUAGAGUCCGGGAGAGGAGAGUGGAAUUCCUGGUGUAGCGGUGGAAUGCGUAGAGAUCCGGAAGAACACCGGUGGCGAAGGCGGCCUGCUGGGCAGUGGCUGACGCUGAGGCGCGACAGCGUGGGGAGCAAACAGG